GUGUGUGUGUGUGUGUGUGCGGGGUGAGCGAGCAGGUGAGACCUCCGCAGGUGUGCCAGUGAUGUUAUUGUGUAUAAAGUCUCUGCGACUUGGCGCCACACGCAGCUAAUGGCUAACAGGGCUAAUGCUAACAAGGUCACGUGCUCCUCCGGCGUCCUGCUGCUGGAGGCCUUCUACGGGGGUUCUCACCGCCAGCUGACGGACCUGCUGAGCGCCCAGCUGGACUCCUGUUGCGUCUUCACGCUGCCCGCCAAGAAGUGGCACUGGAGGGCCCGGACCUCGGCGCUCUACUUCAGCCAGAGUGUCCCGCCCUGCCCCGCCUACAGGGUUCUGUUCUGCAGUUCGGUUCUGAACCUGUGCGAGCUGGUGGCUCUGAGGCCGGACCUGGCCCGCCUCAAAAAGGUUCUGUACUUCCACGAGAACCAGCUGGCGUAUCCGGUCCGCAAAGACCAGGACCGGGACUUCCAGUACGGCUACAACCAGGUUCUGUCAUGCCUGGUGGCGGACGUGGUGGUCUUCAACUCCGCCUACAACAUGGACUCCUUCCUGUCCGCCAUCCCCUCCUUCCUCAGGAAGAUGCCCGACCACCGGCCCAAAGGUUUGGCCCAGCUGAUCCGGCCCAAAUGCCAGGUGCUUCACUUCCCGCUCCACUUGGCCGACGUCAGCGGGCUGCUGCCCAGACACAAAGUCCUGCGUGGGGCCCCCCUGCCUCCUCACGCCCAUGACACGGUCGCAGAGAGGGCUGUGCCUCCUCCUCAGCAGCCCGGUCCAGAGAGCCUAGAAGUUUCUCCUGUUGGGCCGCUGCACAUCGUCUGGCCUCACAGGUGGGAGCAUGACAAGAAUCCUGAGAUGUUCUUCAGCACCAUGUUGAAGCUAAAAGAAGAAGGUCUCCACUUCCUGUUGUCUGUGCUGGGAGAAACAUUCACUGACGUGCCAGAGGUCUUUGUCCAGUCCAGACCUGUGCUGGAGCCACACAUCGUCCACUGGGGCUUCCUGUCCUCCAAAGAAGACUACAUCAGGGUCCUGUGUCAGGCUGACGUGGUGGUCUCCACCGCCGCCCACGAGUUCUUUGGCGUCGCCAUGUUGGAGGCAGUCCACUGCGGGUGUUACCCUCUGUGUCCCAACGCUUUGGUCUACCCCGAAAUAUUCCCAGAAGAGUACCUGUACUCCACGCCCCAGCAGCUUCACAAGAGACUGCGAGCGCUCUGCAAGAAGCCCCAAGUGGCGCGCACACACCUGGUGCAGGUGGACACCAGCACCUUCUCCUGGGACUUCCUCAAGGAGCGUUACCAAAGUCUUUUGAUCUCGUGACCUGGUCUUCCACGUGGUCUGGAUGAAGGUCAUCUUGUGUCAGGUGACAAUAAAGGGCCAAAAGACGACCAAAGAAGGAAGAAGAUGAAAUGAAGAAUGUUACAACAAAGAUUAAUAACACAACUUCAAAGUAAGAGUGUUUAAAAAAAAAAAAAACACAUUAAAAUAACCUCAAAUAAAUAAUAUAUUUGUUUUAAGCUUUAAAGAAACAUAUACAAAUCAACUUAAGAAAAUUGGGAAAAAAUACUGUAAGAGGUUAUAUUAAAGAUAUUUGGAAAACAAACAAAAUAGAUAUUUUUUAAUUUAAGGAAAGACUAUUUAUAGAUAAUGUUUUAAAAAGUUCAAAGGAUUACAAAUAUAUAUAUACAAACCCUGUUUCCAUAUGAUUUGGGAAAUUGUGUUAGAUGUAAAUAUAAACAGAAUACAAUGAUUUGCAAAUCCUUUUCAACCCAUAUUCAGUUGAAUAUGCUACAAAGACAACAUAUUUGAUGUUCAAACCCAUAAACUUUAUUUUUUUUUUGCAAAUAAUUAACUUAAAAUUUCAUGGCUGCAACACGUGCCAAAGUAGUUGGGAAAGGGCAUGUUCACCACUGUGUUACAUCACAUUUUCUUUUAACAACACUCAAUAAACGUUUGGGAACUGAGGAAACUAAUUGUUGAAGCUUUGAAAGUGGAAUUCUUCCCCAUUCUUGUUUUAUGUAGAGCUUCAGUCCUUCAACAGUCCGGGGUCUCCGCUGUCGUAUUUUACGCUCCAUAAUGCGCCACACAUUUUCCAUGGGAAAAAUGUGUGAACAUUUUACGGACUGUUGAUGGUAAAAUCCCUAAAUUCCUUGCAAUAGCUCGUUGAGAAAUGUUGUUCUAAAACUGUUCCACAAUUUGCUUACAAAUUGGUGACCCUCACCCUGUCCUUGUUUGUGAAUGAGUGAGCAUUUCAUGGAAGCUCCUUUUAUACCCAAUCAUGGCACCCACCUGUUCCCAAUUAGCCUGCACACCUGUGGGAUGUUCCAAAUAAGUGUUUGAUGAGCAUUUCUCACCUUUAUCAGUAUUUAUUGCCACCUUUCCCAACUUCUUUGUCACGUGUUGCUGGCAUCAAAUUCUAAAGUUAAUGAUUAUUUGCAAAAAAAAUUAAGUUUAUCAGUUUGAACAUCAAAUUUGUUGUCUUUGUAGCAUAUUCAACUGAAUA
Molecule: RNA transcript, 2494 nt
Organism: Nerophis ophidion (straightnose pipefish)
Lineage: Eukaryota; Metazoa; Chordata; Actinopteri; Syngnathiformes; Syngnathidae
Gene: qtman
Gene name: glycosyltransferase-like domain containing 1
Exons: 12
Source: RefSeq, a predicted model, not a curated record